RNAcentral lists this ribosomal RNA (544 nucleotides) under Nonnullidens sp. 17 CSC-2019. Its description in RNAcentral is "partial large subunit ribosomal RNA". It matches the Rfam family "Bacterial large subunit ribosomal RNA", at positions 1798 to 2627 of the family's 2925-position model. Lineage: Eukaryota; Metazoa; Arthropoda; Insecta; Ephemeroptera; Leptophlebiidae. The record is from RNAcentral.
GCCUGUUUAACAAAAACAUCGCCUUAUGGGAAUUAUGUGAGGUCUGGCCUGCCCACUGUAAUUGAAGGGCCGCAGUAUAUUGACUGUGCAAAGGUAGCAUAAUCAUUAGUCUCUUACUUGGAGGCUGGUAUGAAGGGUUGGAUGAAGUAAAAGCUGUCUCUGUUGGGCAAUAAAGAAUUUAGCUUUUUAGUUAAAAGGCUAAAAUGCAGUUAGAGGACGAGAAGACCCUAUAGAUCUUUAUAAAGCUGUAUGAAAUUAUAAGAUGAGGUAGGGUUUUAUAAAAAUUUUAUUUGGUUGGGGUGACAAGGAAAUAAUAUAACUUUCUUACAAAGGACACUGAUUAGUGAUUAGAGGUUCCAUAAUUUAUGAUUAGAAGAGUAAGUUACCUUAGGGAUAACAGCAUAAUCUUCUUAGAGAGUUCUAAUCGAUAAGGGGGGGUGUGACCUCGAUGUGGGAUUAAGAUUCAGACUGGGUGUAGUAGUUCAGGAUAGAGGUCUGUUCGACCAAUAGUAUCUUACAUGAUCUGAGUUCAAACCGGAGCUCC